CCCCCCUCAGCUGGUGUGUGCGGGUCCUGGGGGGGAAUCUGGCUCGGGAGGGAGGAAGACUGAGCAAAGCCAGAAAAGAAGGCCUUUGGGGAAGGUGGCGACUGGGCCCAGAGCUCCCCACCAAAGGAAGAAAAGCAGGAAGGAUCUAAGUCAGACACUAGGAAGACUACCCCGGCAGGGCCAGUUGUCCAACAGUGAACUGUUGGAAGAAGAGGGUGGAAAGGUUCGUGGAGGUUGGUAUUGGGAUCUGUGGUCAUCGGGGUGAGCGCUGACCCCUCAUGAAGUCAUUCAUUCCUUCCUUCUUUGCUUUACGGGGCGCCUGUGCUGGGCCCUGAGCCCAGAGAUCAAGAAGACGACGUCUCUGUUCUCGAGGAGACGCAAGACAAGAUGUGUCCUCAGCUAAUGGCAGACACAGCCAAAGUCACCCCAGAGGGACCAACAGGAGUUAGAACCGAGAGAGGCGACUUGGGACCAGGCGGUCACAGAAGGCCCCAUGUAGGAGAUGGGAUUUGAGCUGGGCCUCAGGAUACUCAGGGAAGGUGACAGUGGGGACAGGAGGCCCAGGCAGCAAUGCAGCACCUGGCAGAGGCAUAGGUCCGGGCCAAAGUGGG
This 611-nucleotide long non-coding RNA is filed under the name Marmota monax (woodchuck). The record is from RNAcentral. Lineage: Eukaryota; Metazoa; Chordata; Mammalia; Rodentia; Sciuridae.